ACGCACGCUGGCGGCGUGCUUAACACAUGCAAGUCGAACGGAAAGGCCCCUUUGGGGGUACUCGAGUGGCGAACGGGUGAGUAACACGUGAGUAACCUGCCCUUGACUUCGGGAUAACUUCAGGAAACUGGGGCUAAUACCGGAUAGGAAUCCUUGCUGCAUGGUGGGGGUUGGAAAGCUUCGGCGGUUUUGGAUGGACUCGCGGCUUAUCAGCUUGUUGGUGGGGUAGUGGCUUACCAAGGCUUUGACGGGUAGCCGGCCUGAGAGGGCGACCGGCCACAUUGGGACUGAGAUACGGCCCGGACUCCUACGGGAGGCAGCAGUGGGGAAUAUUGCACAAUGGGCGGAAGCCUGAUGCAGCAACGCCGCGUGCGGGAUGACGGCCUUCGGGUUGUAAACCGCUUUCAGCAGGGGCGAAGCUUGUGGUGACGGUACCUGCAGAAGAAGCACCGGCUAACUACGUG
This 464-nucleotide ribosomal RNA is filed under the name uncultured bacterium. RNAcentral's name for it is "partial 16S ribosomal RNA". It matches the Rfam family "Bacterial small subunit ribosomal RNA", at positions 29 to 507 of the family's 1533-position model. The record is from RNAcentral.